CUUGCUCCCGGAUGUUAGCGGCGGACGGGUGAGUAACACGUGGGUAACCUGCCUGUAAGACUGGGAUAACUCCGGGAAACCGGAGCUAAUACCGGAUAGUUCCUUGAACCGCAUGGUUCAAGGAUGAAAGACGGUUUCGGCUGUCACUUACAGAUGGACCCGCGGCGCAUUAGCUAGUUGGUGGGGUAAUGGCUCACCAAGGCGACGAUGCGUAGCCGACCUGAGAGGGUGAUCGGCCACACUGGGACUGAGACACGGCCCAGACUCCUACGGGAGGCAGCAGUAGGGAAUCUUCCGCAAUGGACGAAAGUCUGACGGAGCAACGCCGCGUGAGUGAUGAAGGUUUUCGGAUCGUAAAGCUCUGUUGUUAGGGAAGAACAAGUGCGAGAGUAACUGCUCGCACCUUGACGGUACCUAACCAGAAAGCCACGGCUAACUACGUGCCAGCAGCCGCGGUAAUACGUAGGUGGCAAGCGUUGUCCGGAAUUAUUGGGCGUAAAGGGCUCGCAGGCGGUUUCUUAAGUCUGAUGUGAAAGCCCCCGGCUCACCCGGGGAGGGUCAUUGGAAACUGGGAAACUUGAGUGCAAAGAGGAGAGUGGAAUUCCACGUGUAGCGGUGAAAUGCGUAGAGAUGUGGAGGAACACCAGGUGG
Molecule: ribosomal RNA, 651 nt
Filed under: Bacillus zhangzhouensis
Lineage: Bacteria; Bacillati; Bacillota; Bacilli; Caryophanales; Bacillaceae
Description: bacterial SSU rRNA
Rfam family: Bacterial small subunit ribosomal RNA
Source: RNAcentral